This is a long non-coding RNA of Monodelphis domestica (gray short-tailed opossum), 2754 nucleotides long. RefSeq lists it as uncharacterized. Lineage: Eukaryota; Metazoa; Chordata; Mammalia; Didelphimorphia; Didelphidae. The record is from RefSeq and is a predicted model, not a curated record.
CACUUUCAGGUUUCCUUAAUUAUUUUAAGAGUCCGGAUGUAUUGGAUAAUCGGAUCUCUUUCAGAACGUGUCUAGUCCCGGGAUCCUGCCUGUGAUUUAUAUUAAGCAGGUGCUAGUUUGCUAGAGCUCUCAAAAUGUUGGCUACAGACCACAGGGGAGGCUUGGGCAGAGAGAAGGACUUAAAACGGUAUUGCUCCAUAACUGGGAAAUGGUCUUCCCGCUGACAUUCAGUGUGCCAGGGCUAUUUAUUAAACUCCCAAGAAGUAUAUUUCAAUAGGGGGGAAGGUAAAGAAGCUCGCAGCGAAAGCUCAAAUUCCAUCAUCCCCUCGCCAGUUGUGCCUGUGUGUUCUGUGACUCUCAGGAUAGUCAAUGAUUUAAUAAGGUGAACAGAAGACUGAAUACUCUGCUCAAGAAGGCAACAGAGAAGGCAAAGGACUAUAAAGAACUUUGACCAAGGAAGCCUCAAGUUCAAGUGAUAGAAUGGGGCUGCUGGGUUUGUCUUGAAGAGGAUCAGUCCCUGAGCCAGAAGUGGCUUGCUUGGUUGCAAGGUGGAAACAUACUGAGGCAUACUGAUCUCCCUGCUUUGGAGCCAGACUGCCCUAGGAUUGCUCCUGAUCCAUAAAAGCCCAGAACUAGGACUCUAUAGAGGGAAAGCUUCCUCUUUCACCUUAAGUAAUGCUCUUUUAUUAUGUGACAAUAAAUGAAGCUAUUUAAUAGAAAGGUGGAAAGAGGGAGCAGAACAAAAGUCCAAGAAGAAAUGUGCAUCUCUUCAAAAUCAUUUCCCCCCUUUUUUUCACCAUGUCUGCCUUUGCCAACCAAAGAGAUGGGUCCUGGACUGGUGAUGUGUCAAGGCUGGCAACUGAUUGGCAGUUUGGAGGAAUGGCUGGCCCCAUUUCCAUGGAAGUUGCUUCCCUGGAUGCUAAUUGAGAGGGAAUUGGCACAGAAAGACACGAUUUUCCCAAGAAAUUGUUAAUAUUGUAGACCUUGGAGUUCCACAAGUAAUAACUAGAAGUUGGAAGAAGAAUAUACCACCUUUCUCUCUCACUUCAAUCUCCCUACCCUCAACAUAGACAGGCAGGGAACAGGGGACCAAGAGAGUAAUUUCAUAUGAAGAGCUCUCAUAUUUCAGACUUUUAGUGACUAGAGAUUUGUAUACAUCUUUGAAAUUAAUAGUUGCUCAUUUAAGGUUUUGCUUUUUCUUUCCAGUAAGUCUUUUUUCUGUGUAAGGAGAGAAUAUCAUAUGUACUUUACCCCAGAUAACCUGUGAAAAAUAAGAGUGAAAAAAUUCCCUAAUGUACCUAAGCCCUUGGUGUCGUUAAUGAAUGCAAGCAUUUUCAAAAGCUAGUAUGAUUUCAGUCUCUGAAUCAUCAUAACUUCUGUAGCAAGGGAAAUUACAGGGUGCAAAGAGUUUUGAUUGACAAGCCCUCAAGACUCAGAAUUCUUCCAUUGCUGACAGGAAAAGUUCCAAACUGUUGAAGACAGUUCCCCAACUGACAGUCUGGAGCUGGGAAGUGAAGCCUGAAGGGUGCAGAUCUAAUCUCUCCAGGACCCUCUUGGACAUCUUGGAAGCAGCCAUCAAGCAAGAGUGAGCAGGAGUUUCCCUCAAUACCCUCUGGUGGACAGAGAGAAAAAUUGGAGGAAAUCAGUCUCUCUUUUGGACAUCUGAGAACUCAGCUGGAUUCCUGUAGCUGACCCAUCAAAGGAUUCACUGAGUGUGAAAAAUUUGGUUACCUGUUGGACUUGCCUUUAGGAAUUUAUGUAAUUAGUUAAGGUAGUUAAAUAGUAUGUUUAAUUAGAAGGUAAAGCAGUCAGAUUUCCUUUCUCCCACUUUCCUUCCUCCCUUCAUCCCUUCUCUGUUAAUAAAUUCAAUAUUAUUUAUAUGUGCUAUUUUCCCUUUGUAUUACCUUCCUUCCCUCUUUCCAAAAUAUAGAUUUAACACUUCAAAUGAAUGAAACUGGAAUUGAGCUGAUAGUUUAUAUCUUUUCCUCAUAAUCUUGAAGUUAUAAAUUCACUAAAACAAUGUCUUGGAAGAUUCAAACAUUCCUUAAAGAAUCUGGUAGUGUACCAAGUUAGAAGAUUCAAUUUUCUCCAGAGAGUCCAGCCAAGAAAAUUAACUAUUGUUUUCUUCAAGGGAAGCCUCAAGAGGGAAAUUCCUUGGAGAGCUAUAGGCCAUUAAGGACAGAAGGGACUGGCCCAAAGCAGAUCCAUAGGUCUACAGCCCUCUUAAUGCUUUCCUAUUGACUAAAUUCUCUAAGGAUUUCCCAAUAUUGUGUAGUGGGAAUGUUCCCUCAGUGAGAAAUCCCCACUUAUAUGGCUAAAAUGUUCAGAAAAUUUCUCUGAGGAAAAGUAACAAACCAAAGGUAAAUUUUCCUCAAAGAUUUCAUAUUAAGAUCACCCAAUUGCAUAGCUUCCUAAUUAAUACAGCAACCAGACAAUUUAAACAAGAUAUAUAUUUUUGAAUAAGAUUAAACUAAUUGAAAUUCAUCUUGAAAUUCAAACUUAUACUAGAGAGCAAAGGGAAUUAUCAAUUUGGCUUCAUCUUCUCAGCUGAACAAAGUGUUCGCAUAUACAAUAAGGUUUGCAACUUUUGGGAUUCUCCAACUCUUUUUGAGAUUGUAAAGGACUCUUUAUUCACUUAGGUAAACUGUCUUUUCUCAGAUGUUUCAUAUUUAUAUGGUAUGUUCUCUCUAGACAAGAGAGCUAUAAUCUAUAUUACUUCUUUGUUUUUUUAAAUAAACUUUAAAAUCUUUUAAA